UUUAUUAAACAGAAUCUUUUAUUGGAAUAAAAAACUUAGAAAAAAUAUAGGAAAUGGGAAUCAUAUUGUGGUGGCAUUAACAAUAAGUUACACGCACAUACCUAACAUCUUCAUUUACAAAUGUCCAUAUGCAAUAAAGUCAAUCUACACAUUAACAAGAAUGGCUACCAAAUCGUUUUUCUGCAGUACAAAACCUGAAUCAAACAACACAUGAGAAGGAGUAGUCAUUUACCGUUGUUGAGUGCCAAGCAUUCCUUCCAGUAUUUUGAGACACCAUGAGAUGACAAGGUUCCGAAACCUUUUCACAAAGGUUCAACACUCACAAACACCAAAACUCACACUUCUCCAACACACCCCACGAGCUCCGCAAAUUCCGCCUCUUUCCUGAAUAACCGGAGCAUCAAAACUCGCACCAUUACCAGCAGCAUAGAAACCUGAAGGAAAAAGAUGAAUAAAAAUACCGUAAAAAAGUGCAAAAGUAACGAGUUGUGGAGAAACUCACGAAACAGGACGCGCGUAUGUUUGUGGGUUCACAUAGAACUGUUUUUUAUGUUUUAUGUUUUUUGUUUUUCACAGCAGAGGAUGGUGAGAAUUCGGGGUUGCUUGAAUUUCAUAUCAUCGCAUCCUCGGGACGCAGUUCCAGUGGCGUCGUGAUCCGGCAAUACCCGAGAUAUCGAUGAACACAAGCCAUCGAUCAUCGGGGUCCGCAGCUUUGUUCCGCCACAAGAUCCGCGAAAGCUGUAGACAAAAACGG
Molecule: long non-coding RNA, 754 nt
Filed under: Physcomitrium patens
Lineage: Eukaryota; Viridiplantae; Streptophyta; Bryopsida; Funariales; Funariaceae
Description: long non-coding RNA (PPAT_LNC008320)
Source: RNAcentral